AGAGUUUGAUCAUGGCUCAGGACGAACGCUGGCGGCGUGCCUAACACAUGCAAGUCGUACGGGAUUUGGGGGCAACUCCAAGUUCAGUGGCAGACGGGUGCGUAACACGUGAAGAACUUGUCCGGUGGCGGGGGAUAGCCGGCCCAACGGCCGGGUAAUACCGCAUACGCUCGUGUGGGGGCAUCCCUGUACGAGGAAAGCAGCCGCAAGGUUGCGCCGACGGAGAGCUUCGCGGCCUAUCAGCUUGUUGGCGGGGUAAUGGCCCACCAAGGCUACGACGGGUAGCUGGUCUGAGAGGAUGAUCAGCCACAUUGGGACUGAGACACGGCCCAGACUCCUACGGGAGGCAGCAGUGGGGAAUAUUGCGCAAUGGCCGCAAGGACGCAGCGACGCCGCGUGUGGGAUGACGGUCUUCGGAUUGUAAACCACUGUCAGGGGGAACGAAUACAGGGCGUCGAAUAGGCGACCCUGGGUGACGGUACCUCCAAAGGAAGCACCGGCUAACUCCGUGCCAGCAGCCGCGGUAAUACGGAGGGUGCGAGCGUUGUCCGGAAUCACUGGGCGUAAAGGGCGCGUAGGUGGUUCGAUAAGUCGCUGGUGAAAUUCCGGGGCUCAACUCCGGAGCUGCCGGCGAGACUGUCGGACUUGAGCACGGUAGGGGCAGAUGGAAUUCCCGGUGUAGCGGUGGAAUGCGUAGAUAUCGGGAAGAAUACCAGUGGCGAAGGCGUUCUGCUGGGCCGUUGCUGACACUGAGGCGCGACAGCGUGGGGAGCAAACAGGAUUAGAUACCCUAGUAGUCC
RNAcentral lists this ribosomal RNA (800 nucleotides) under uncultured bacterium. RNAcentral's name for it is "bacterial SSU rRNA". It matches the Rfam family "Bacterial small subunit ribosomal RNA", at positions 8 to 796 of the family's 1533-position model. The record is from RNAcentral.